AUUGAACGCUGGCGGCAGGCCUAACACAUGCAAGUCGAGCGAGCGGCGGACGGGUGAGUAAUGUCUGGGAAACUGCCUGAUGGAGGGGGAUAACUACUGGAAACGGUAGCUAAUACCGCAUACCAUCAGAUGUGCCCAGAUGGGAUUAGCUGGUCGGUGGGGUAACGGGUCACCUAGGCGACGAUCCCUAGCUGGUCUGCGAGGAUGUCCAGCCCCGCUGAAACUGAGACACGGUCCAGAGUCCUACGGGGUGCAGCAGUGUGGAAUAUUGCACAAAGGGCGCAAGCCUGCUGCAUCGAUGCCGCGUGUGUGAGUAAGGCCUUCGGGUUGUAAAGCACUUAAAGCGGUGAGGCGUUACCCGAAGAAGAAGCACCGGCUAACUCCGUGCCAGCGGCCGCGGUAAUAC
RNAcentral lists this ribosomal RNA (406 nucleotides) under uncultured bacterium. Its description in RNAcentral is "partial 16S ribosomal RNA". It matches the Rfam family "Bacterial small subunit ribosomal RNA", at positions 30 to 526 of the family's 1533-position model. The record is from RNAcentral.